CCGGCACGGGUGAGUAACGCGUAUGCAACUUGCCUAUCAGGAGGGGGAGAACCGGCGAAAGUCGGACUAAUACCGCAUGAAGCAGGGGCCCCGCAUGGGGAUAUUUGCUAAAGAUUCAUCGCUGAUAGAUAGGCAUGCGUUCCAUUAGGCAGUUGGCGGGGUAACGGCCCACCAAACCGACGAUGGAUAGGGGUUCUGAGAGGAAGGUCCCCCACAUUGGUACUGAGACACGGACCAA
RNAcentral lists this ribosomal RNA (238 nucleotides) under uncultured bacterium. RNAcentral describes it as "partial 16S ribosomal RNA". It matches the Rfam family "Bacterial small subunit ribosomal RNA", at positions 100 to 334 of the family's 1533-position model. The record is from RNAcentral.